RNAcentral lists this ribosomal RNA (433 nucleotides) under uncultured bacterium. RNAcentral's name for it is "partial 16S ribosomal RNA". It matches the Rfam family "Bacterial small subunit ribosomal RNA", at positions 29 to 507 of the family's 1533-position model. The record is from RNAcentral.
AACGAACGCUGGCGGCAUGCCUAACACAUGCAAGUCGAACGAGACCUUCCGGUCUAGUGGCGCACGGGUGCGUAACGCGUGGGAACCUGCCCUUAGGUUCGGAAUAACUCCCCGAAAGGGGUGCUAAUACCGGAUAAUGUCUUCGGACCAAAGAUUUAUCGCCUUUGGAUGGGCCCGCGUUGGAUUAGCUAGUUGGUAGGGUAAAAGCCUACCAAGGCGACGAUCCAUAGCUGGUCUGAGAGGAUGAUCAGCCACACUGGGACUGAGACACGGCCCAGACUCCUACGGGAAGCAGCAGUGGGGAAUAUUGGACAAUGGGCGAAAGCCUGAUCCAGCAAUGCCGCGUGAGUGAUGAAGGCCUUAGGGUUGUAAAGCUCUUUUACCCGGGAUGAUAAUGACAGUACCGGGAGAAUAAGCGCCGGCUAACUCCGUG